GAAGGAAAUAAAGGGGACUUGUUUCUCUAGGUGUCCUUGGCUGGCCCUUGGUCGACCCCUUCCUCCUCACAGCUUUCGAGGUAACUGUUCUGGACCUGAGUCAUCACAGCUGCUGGAUCAUUGUCUAUAGACACAGCAUGUCUCACCAUGUGGUCUCUUUCCCACCCUGCUAAGACCCUCACCAGGAGUCAAACAGAUGGGGCUGCCUUAUUUGGGACUUUCAGUCUUAAGACUAUGAGCUAAAUAACCUCUUUUCUUUAAAAUGCAUCCAGCCUCAAGUAUUUUAUUAAAACAAUAGAAAACUUCUGUUAUUCUAUAUGUUGCUUUUGAAUCUAGAUUAUAAAAAAUAUUGUGGCUUCUGACUCUCUGCCCCUUGGAUCACUCACUCUGGGAGAGGCCAGCUGUCACAUUUGAGGAUGGUCACAUGUAGAGAGGCCCAUCUGGAGAGGAACUGAGGCGUCUUGCCAAUCCAUGUGAAUGGGCUUGAAAUGGAUUCUCUGCCCUGGAGAAAACUUGGAUGACUAUAGUCUUGGCCGACAGCUUGACUAAAACUUUGCGAGAGACCCUGAGUCAGAAUCACCCAGAUAUGUCACUCUUGGAUUCCUGUCUGUCAGAAACUGUGAAUGAGAAGGUCAAGUUGCAGAAGAAUAAAUGGAAUGGAAAAGAUUUCAGAGCCAUCUUUGCACAAUACAGCCAUACCUGCCCGGCCCUGGGAAGAAAACCCAAUGCAUUGUUCUCUGCAUUGCCUCUCAGGAACAGAGGGACAGAUGGCUUCUUUUCAUAAGCCCUGCACACUUCUAGAACUGGGAGUAAGGCUCAUUCUGCUGAAAUGGCUCUUCCUGUCAAGUCCUGAGGAGAGCCAGCAGUGCUUUGGGCUUGGAAAAUGGGUACUUGUUGCCUUUUGUUCUCAGUUAUUGACUCUGCUACAAAUUCUACCUUUCUAGAAAAACAGGGAAGAUCCCAUUCGGCAUCUCACCCCACCAAGCCACCUCACUCUUUCUCUACCAGUCACUGUACUUAGCCCUUCACCUCCAGGAGUCCUGCACCUACCUUCUUAGCUAGGAAUUAUAAGUCCAUUUCACAGAGGGGAUCUAGAGGACCAAGGUCCAUAGCUGCCAGGUGGUGGAGGAGGGAAUCGAUGCUAGUUCUGACCUCUUUUUCAACCUUCUAGGUUUUCUGGGAUUUCAGAAAGCCUGAAAGUAUAGGAGCUUCAGCCCUGGUUUCCUCAGGUCAUUCCAAGGGUGAGGCCAGAGUGAGCAGUGUGAGAGGGGAGGAGGGAGCUACUUACCGGAGGUAGGACCUUAAACCCUGUCUGGCAGUCAUUGAGAAUACAAAUAUCAAUAAAUGCUAGAGAGAGGAUGUGAAGAAUAAGAAACACUAUUACACUGUUGGUGGGAUCAUAAAUUAGUACAACACUAUAGAAAUCGGUACAGAGACUCCUCAAAAAACUAGGCAUGGAACCACCAUAUGACCCAGCUAUGCCAUUCCUUUAGAUAUUUAUCCUAAAGAAUUAAAGUUAUCAUACCAUAGGAUACAUGCACAUCCAUGAUUAUAGCAGCAUAAUUCACAAUAGCCAAAUUAUGGAACCAACCUAGGAGUCCACCAGUGGAGGAAUGGAUAAAGAAAAUGUGGUAUAAUUGCUGAUGGGACUGCAAAGGGGUGCAACCACUCUGGAAAACAGUAUGAAGAUACCUCAGAAAACUUGCAAUGGAUCCACCAUUUGACCCAGCUAUCCCACUCCUUGGUUUAUACCCAAAGGACUUAAAAUCAGCAUGCACAGUGACGCAGCCACAUGGAUGUUUAUAGCAGUUCAAUUCACAAUAGCUAAACUAUGAAACCAACCUAGAUACCCUUCAACAGAUGAAGGGAUAAAGAAAAUGUGGUACAUAUACACAGUGGAAUAUUACUCAGCCUUAAAUAAAAUAAAAUUAUGGCAUUUGCAGGUAAAUGGAUGGAACUAGAGAAUAUUAUGCUAAGUGAAAUAAGCCAAUCCCCAAAACCCAAAAGCUGAAUGUUUUCUCUGAUAAGCAAUGCUGAUCCAUAGUGGGGUAGAGGGAUAGGGGAAGAAUGAAGGAACUUUGGUUUGCGUA
This is a long non-coding RNA of Marmota monax (woodchuck), 2090 nucleotides long. RefSeq lists it as uncharacterized. The record is from RefSeq and is a predicted model, not a curated record. The transcript has 3 exons. Lineage: Eukaryota; Metazoa; Chordata; Mammalia; Rodentia; Sciuridae.